AAGUCGUAACAAGGUUUCCGUAGGUGAACCUGCGGAAGGAUCAUUAACACGUAUCCAAACGUUAACCCCCCUGUGAACCUUUAGUGUGCUCGUACCUUUGUCAGAGCGUGGCAAUCCCUAGUAAAUCAUCGCCGAACAGUUUUCGAUUUAGGGACUUCCACAAAGAGUGUGCUCGUAGCGCGAGGCAAGUGGCCUGGCAUUCCCAAGCAGUUGGUGUCUGAAAGUGUCACUGGCUGUGUAAGGAUGGCGCAGUCACGAUCGUUGGAGGCCGACACGGCCGACGAACCGGGUCACCGGGCUCACGCCCCUUAAUCACAACUUAAUGCAUGUCAGCUUAAUGCAUGUCAGACGCGCCUGCGUUUAAUUGUGCGGCGACCAUAAAACUCGAACAGUUCUC
Molecule: unclassified non-coding RNA, 397 nt
Filed under: fungal sp.
Lineage: Eukaryota; Fungi
Description: partial internal transcribed spacer region
Rfam family: Eukaryotic small subunit ribosomal RNA (bases 1-46)
Source: RNAcentral